GACGUAGGGCGCGAGCGUUGUCCGGAUUUAUUGGGCGUAAAGAGCUCGUAGGCGGCUCGUUGCGUCGGCUGUGAAAAACCCGCAGCUCAACUGUGGGCUUGCAGCUGAUACGGGCGGGCUGGGAUUCGGUAGGGGAGACUGGAAUUCCUGGUGUAGCGGUGAAAUGCGCAGAUAUCAGGAGGAACACCGGUGGCGAAGGCAGGUCUCUGGGCAUUAACUGACGCUGAGGAGCGAAAGCAUGGGGAGCGAACAGG
Molecule: ribosomal RNA, 254 nt
Filed under: uncultured bacterium
Lineage: Bacteria
Description: partial 16S ribosomal RNA
Rfam family: Bacterial small subunit ribosomal RNA
Source: RNAcentral